CCUACGGGAGGCUGCAGUGGGGAAUUUUGGACAAUGGGCGCAAGCCUGAUCCAGCCAUGCCGCGUGUCUGAAGAAGGCCUUCGGGUUGUAAAGGACUUUUGUCAGGGAAGAAAAGGCUUUUGAUAAUACCAGGAGCUGAUGACGGUACCUGAAGAAUAAGCACCGGCUAACUACGUGCCAGCAGCCGCGGUAAUACGUAGGGUGCGAGCGUUAAUCGGAAUUACUGGGCGUAAAGCGGGCGCAGACGGUUUGUUAAGCAGGAUGUGAAAUCCCCGGGCUCAACCUGGGAACUGCGUUCUGAACUGGCAGGCUAGAGUGUGUCAGAGGGGGGUAGAAUUCCACGUGUAGCAGUGAAAUGCGUAGAGAUGUGGAGGAAUACCGAUGGCGAAGGCAGCCCCCUGGGAUAACACUGACGUUCAUGCCCGAAAGCGUGGGUAGCAAACAGGAUUAGAUACCCUAGUAGUC
This 465-nucleotide ribosomal RNA is filed under the name uncultured Neisseriaceae bacterium. RNAcentral describes it as "bacterial SSU rRNA". It matches the Rfam family "Bacterial small subunit ribosomal RNA", at positions 338 to 795 of the family's 1533-position model. Lineage: Bacteria; Pseudomonadati; Pseudomonadota; Betaproteobacteria; Neisseriales; Neisseriaceae. The record is from RNAcentral.